This 2581-nucleotide long non-coding RNA is filed under the name Triticum aestivum (bread wheat). RNAcentral's name for it is "long non-coding RNA (TAES_LNC015856)". Lineage: Eukaryota; Viridiplantae; Streptophyta; Magnoliopsida; Poales; Poaceae. The record is from RNAcentral.
GGCGGCUCUUCCUUUUUGUUUUGUGUUUGAAUCAGAUUUGGUGGUCUCGAUUUUACAGGCAUGUGUUGAUCUUGGUCUUGUUCUGUAUGCAGGUAGGGUACACUUGAUGUUUCAUGUUUGGUGAAAGAAAAGGAGCUUCCUAUGUUGAUUUCGGGCAAGACAUACAUUCUGCCAUGCAUUAGUAGAUCAAUUGCUUCUUUGUGUAGGGGAACGAUUAGUGAUUGAAUCUCUCUGUCUUGUUUCUUGAUUAUCCAAUUAGUUUACCCUCAUCUAUGCAUAAAUUGGUCCGAUUGAGUUAUGCCAUUUUUUUAAUAAUCUAUAUUGGUUUUAUAUAUGACUAGAACAAUAUGAUACGAUGCACAUCGGUCCACUUUACUGGCAGCUAUCCUUCAAGAUUGAGGGGAGGCACUCUUGUGGACCUGCUCAAUGUUCGAGGAGAUACGGCUGACUAAACAAGGUUAUUUUAAAGUUCUGUGUGGUUCAUGUUAGCUAUCUAUCAGUAAUAGUACAACCUUGAUUUUUAUGUCGUUCAGGUUUACCUAACCAUCAGUAACAUUACUUUCUAUUGGAGACUUCUUACAGGAGGUGCUUAUAAAAUGAUAGUUGAACAUGUACAGAGUUUGGAUCACGAUCAUCUAUUUACCAGGCAUCAGUUAACUCAAGGCAUCGAUCAAAAUCUAGCAUUCUUUGUUGUGUGCAUCAUGGAGAAGACAAAGAACAGAGAUUGUGUGAUAUAUCCGAUAACGCAAUAUAAUUUUCUCUUGCAUAUUUAUAAUCUGCCAUUUGAAUGAUGUUUUCUGUGUUGUAGUCAAAUCAAGACAAUUUGCAACUUUGGUGUUAUGACGUUGGAGGCCGUGCUCAACAGCAAUGGGGGACUGUUCGUUGAUGCCCGACCCACGAUGCCGGCGAAGGAAUGAGAGUCGACGAGGAGUGGACGCCAUGGGUUCGUGAACUGGCGAAGCCUCCGUUGUCCGUUUGGUAAUGUCCGACGCAUUAGAGGCAUAGUAUGACUUGUCUCGAUUAUGAUGUCGUCCACAAACAUCCAACGGAGGGGAACCCGUCCCAGUUUCCAUCUUGAUGGUAAGUUCUCUAAUCUUCUAUCUCAUGGGAUGUGAUGUUGUUGCCUUCAUUUUGGCUUUUGACAAAGGGUUGAAAUUAGCUUAUGUGCUUCCGACAAUUAAAAUUCCAGUGAUAUUUCCAGCAAUAUAUAAUUUCUAAAUCAUUUCCAGCAAUUUGUGAGUUGUUUGCUUGCUCAACCUUACGCUGGGAUCAUGUCUACAGACUACAAAUAGAGGGAAGUUGGCCUGUGCCUUACUAGAGACAAAUGAACCAAUAAAAUGAUUGGAAAGGUUCUUCCCAAGCAAAAGGUAAGCUGAAUCUUGUACAGUUUACUUCAUAAUAUAUUUUGGUCAGCAUGGUGUUUAUUUUCUGAAAUUGAUACUCCAUUGUAGAUUACCUAUGAUGAAAAUUACAUUCUCUGCGGGCGCUGAUUCUGAUAUAUUACUAUGGGCAAAGGAAGUUCAAAAUUUAUCUCAAUCAAACAUGUGCAAAGGAAAAUCCAAAAUAUGUUAUGUUAGUAAAAGAUUCUUAAACCAGUGCGUUGCCACGGGCUAACAAAUCCAAAACAUGUUAUGUCAGUAAAAGAUUCUCAUUUGAAUGAUGUUUUCUGUGUCCUCGGAUCACCAGGACGCCGCCGUCGCCUCGUAUCCCCACACGCCGCUAGCAUGGCCGUGACAACUGAUGAGCACGCUCCACCCCCAUUCCUGCCACAGGUCUUCACAUUCGAGGCUGCCUCCUCAUUCCUUUCUCUAAUCUUUCAUUCAACUACUCGAAGUAAACAAACCAUUUCUUCUCUUCUGUAUGUAGAUGAAGAAAAGUAGGCUCAAUCGGGCCAUGACUAGAGUUGAAGAAGGCUCAGGCAGAUGGUGAUACUCUCAAACCAGGUACGAGCAUGAUCCCUUUUCACCCCUACAGCUCUUGCAUGCCUUCAAAGCAUCUGAUCUUGGUUGUUGCAACCCUCCUUGUCCUUGAUGCGGACAAAAUUGAUAGGGUUGUCCUGAUUCCUUAUGUCUUAUUUUUCAUGUUCUACUUUGCCUUCAUGUGUGCUUCUUCAAGCAGAUGGACUUUGAGAUCCCGCUCAAAAUUUGGGCUAAAAUGUGGUUAUAUUAUUAAAACUUCAAUCAAUUGUAAGACUGAGAAAUAUGUAGUUGGUCAAGCAGCCUCAGCUUAUAGUUGAGAGCGCCCAGGGCUGAUUGACAACUAUGUAGGUCAGUUUAACCUCGGUUAUGGAUGCUCGCACAUAAACUUUGCCCUGGGAAGACACCAUAGCAUGUACAAGGAUUAGGCUUGUUAUUUUUUGUAUUGAAGACAGUAUUCAUGGUAGCAUGCAUUUUCACUUUUUUUUGUAAGAGACCCCAACCCGGUAACCAAGACAUGGAAAAGUGGAGUGCGACCGUAAAAAAUGCUCAUCAAAUUGCUGGCUCCAUGUUGCCUAUCCACUGUCAUCAUACUUGUCUGCAUCAAAACGUCUCCGUUGAUGUUGAAUAUGAAACAGUUGCCACUGUCCCACCAGCAACACCGA